ACGCUCGACACCUACGGGAGGUAGCAGUGGGGAAUAUUGCACAAUGGGGGAAACCCUGAUGCAGCAACGCCGCGUGAAGGAAGACGGUUUUCGGAUUGUAAACUUCUGUUCUUAGUGAAGAUAGUGACGGUAGCUAAGGAGCAAGCCACGGCUAACUACGUGCCCGCAGCCGCGGUAAUCUGAGCGGGCUGGCAAGGC
This 198-nucleotide ribosomal RNA is filed under the name uncultured bacterium. RNAcentral describes it as "partial 16S ribosomal RNA". It matches the Rfam family "Bacterial small subunit ribosomal RNA", at positions 328 to 539 of the family's 1533-position model. The record is from RNAcentral.